This 265-nucleotide ribosomal RNA is filed under the name uncultured bacterium. RNAcentral's name for it is "partial 16S ribosomal RNA". It matches the Rfam family "Bacterial small subunit ribosomal RNA", at positions 524 to 776 of the family's 1533-position model. The record is from RNAcentral.
UACGUAGGGGGGCAAGCGUUUGUCCGGAUUUAUUGGGCGUAAAGAGCGUGUAGGCGGCCUGACAAGUCUGCUGUGAAAACUCGAGGCUCAAACCUCGAGAUGUCGGCGGAAACUGUCUGGCUAGAGUCCGGGAAGAGGAGAGUGGGAAUUCCUGGGUGUUAGCGGGUGAAAAUGCGCAGAUAUCAAGGGAAGAACACCUAUGGCGAAGGCAGCUCUCUGGGACGGUACUGACGCUGAGACGCGAAAAGCGUGGGGAGCGAACAGG